RNAcentral lists this ribosomal RNA (481 nucleotides) under uncultured bacterium. Its description in RNAcentral is "bacterial SSU rRNA". It matches the Rfam family "Bacterial small subunit ribosomal RNA", at positions 56 to 504 of the family's 1533-position model. The record is from RNAcentral.
UGCAAGUCGNNNGAGCGGAACCAACAGAUUUACUUCGGUAAUGACGUUGGGAAAGCGAGCGGCGGAUGGGUGAGUAACACGUGGGGAACCUGCCCCUAAGUCUGGGAUACCAUUUGGAAACAGGUGCUAAUACCGGAUAAUAAAGCAGAUCGCAUGAUCAGCUUUUGAAAGGCGGCGUAAGCUGUCGCUAAGGGAUGGCCCCGCGGUGCAUUAGCUAGUUGGUAAGGUAACGGCUUACCAAGGCGACGAUGCAUAGCCGAGUUGAGAGACUGAUCGGCCACAUUGGGACUGAGACACGGCCCAAACUCCUACGGGAGGCAGCAGUAGGGAAUCUUCCACAAUGGACGCAAGUCUGAUGGAGCAACGCCGCGUGAGUGAAGAAGGUUUUCGGAUCGUAAAGCUCUGUUGUUGGUGAAGAAGGAUAGAGGUAGUAACUGGCCUUUAUUUGACGGUAAUCAACCAGAAAGUCACGGCUAACUAC